CUUGACCGUGCAAAGGUAGCAUAAUCAUUUGUCUCUUAAAUGGGGACCUGUAUGAAUGGCUUUUCAUUCUCUAGCUGUCUCCCUUCUUCCCCCUUUAAACUUCUAUUUACGUGAAGAAGCGUAAUUUUGACAGAAAGACGAGAAGACCCUGUCGAGCUUCAGCUAAACCUAAGUCCCACUACAUUUCCUCUCAGAGAAAAAGUAAAGUCCUUAGAACAAGCUUUGGUUGGGGCAACCAUGGAGUAAAAACAGCCUCCAGUUUUUCAGGUAGAAAACUAUUCUCCUAAAAAUAUACACUUUUAGAACCAAAAAUUUUGGAAAACGGAAAAAGUUACCGCAGGGAUAACAGCGUUAUCUUUUCUGAGAGCCCUUAUUGACGAAAAGGAUUGCGACCUCGAUGUUGGAUUGGGGUAACCAGAGGGUGCAGCAGCUCUCCAAGGUUGGACUGUUCGUCCAUUAAUUCCC
RNAcentral lists this ribosomal RNA (465 nucleotides) under Isostichopus badionotus. RNAcentral describes it as "partial 16S large subunit ribosomal RNA". It matches the Rfam family "Bacterial large subunit ribosomal RNA", at positions 1941 to 2596 of the family's 2925-position model. The record is from RNAcentral. Lineage: Eukaryota; Metazoa; Echinodermata; Holothuroidea; Aspidochirotida; Stichopodidae.